RNAcentral lists this transfer RNA (85 nucleotides) under bacterium. RNAcentral's name for it is "tRNA-Leu". It matches the Rfam family "tRNA". Rfam says of the family: Transfer RNA (tRNA) molecules are approximately 80 nucleotides in length. The record is from RNAcentral.
GCGGACGUAGCCAAAUUGGCAGAGGCGGCAGGUUUAGGGCCUGCUGGGGAAACCCGUGUGGGUUCGACUCCCACCGUCCGCACAA